Non-coding RNA from Cicer arietinum (chickpea), 1469 nucleotides. The record is from RefSeq and is a predicted model, not a curated record. Lineage: Eukaryota; Viridiplantae; Streptophyta; Magnoliopsida; Fabales; Fabaceae.
UGAUAGUUAAUUGCAAACACUUGGACUUGAUCUUAAGAUUAUAAGACUCCUUGAACUUGAACUUGAAAUCGGAAGUAAAAGUAAGCAUAGAAGAGUAGAGAAUAGGAGAAGUGAAGUUCGUGGACGAGUUAGAAGAAGAUAAUGGAAAAAGAGAGUGUAAAAGCAGAAGCAGUCCUCAAUUGCAUCGACCUCUCCAAUCCUGAUAUCAACAAAUUGCUUCAUUUGCUCAAACAUUCAUGCACCGAUUCUGGGUUUUUCUACCUUAUCAAUCACGGUAUAAGCCACGAGUUUAUGGACGAGGUUUUUUCUCAAAGCAACAAGUUUUUCAACCUUCCGCUAAACGAAAAGAUGAAGCUUCUCCGGAACGAUUAUCAUAGGGGAUAUACCCCUCUUCUCGAUGAAAUCCUUGAUCCUCAAAACCAAUUACACGGUGAUUACAAAGAAGGGUAUUAUAUUGGAGUUGAAGACAAUGAUCCACUAUCAAACAAACCUUUUCAUGGCCCAAACAUUUGGCCUGCUUCAGAUGUUCUGCCUGGAUGGAGGGAGACUAUGGAAAAAUUCCAAUGCCAGGCAUUAGAAGUGGGAAAAGCAGUUGCAAAGAUAAUAGCCCUUGCACUUGAUUUGGAUGCUAAUUUUUUUGAUAAACCAGAAACCUUGGGAGAACCCAUUGCGAUUAUGCGCUUACUACACUAUCAAGAUAAACUCUCGGAUCCCUCACAAGGGUUAUAUGCAGCUGGAGCUCAUACUGACUAUGGUCUGAUUACUCUGUUGGCAACAGAUGAUGUCCAGGGUCUUCAAAUAUGCAAGAAUAAGGAUGCUAAACCUCGGAUAUGGGAGGAUGUGACACCAAUGAAGGGAGCAUUUAUAGUUAAUCUUGGAGACAUGCUGGAGCGCUGGAGCAACUGUACUUUCAAGUCUACAUUGCACAGAGUUAUUGGAAAUGGUCAAGAGAGAUAUUCUAUUGCAUACUUCUUGGAGCCUGGUCACGACUGUCUAGUGGAGUGCUUGCCAACCUGCAAAUCAGAUGCAAAUCCUCCAAAAUUUCCUCCUAUCUAUUACCGGGACUAUCUGAGUCAACGCUACAAGGAAACACAUGCUAAUCUGCUUGUAUACAGCAAACAACAAUCUUGAGCACUUACUCAAUUGGAGCUGUGCAGCUUGGAGGUUUUUCUUAACUCUACUUUUAUAAUAAGUGUUGGAAUGGAAUGCAUGCAUGCCUGAAGGUCCAUCAUGGCCAUGUACUUUUGUAAGGGAACUUCAUAUUGGCGGAUAUUGUUCAUAAGUUUCUUCUCCUGUAGAAAAUAAAUAAUGUAUUAGUGAGAACCAAAUAAAGAAAAGGACAUGAAAACAACAUUGAUCCUUAUAGAUUGAUUUAUAGAUGAAAUGGAAAGAAAUUAACCUGAAGUUGCUGGGUGCUACAAGAGGGAGGUAAGAGACCACGCAAAUAGUGUGCAUCUCUCUCUUUCUCA